This 326-nucleotide ribosomal RNA is filed under the name uncultured Sarcomonadea. RNAcentral's name for it is "bacterial SSU rRNA". The stretch from base 114 to 326 matches the Rfam family "Eukaryotic small subunit ribosomal RNA", at positions 743 to 955 of the family's 1831-position model. The record is from RNAcentral. Lineage: Eukaryota; Cercozoa.
GAUUUCUGGUCUGGUGCGCCUGGCCCGCGGCUCUUAGCUUGUGAGUGCCGGGUCGCGCCUGCCAUCCUUCUAGAUGGCCUGUCUACCCUUCACUGGGCCGGACAUGUGUUUGUCUAGAUCUUUUACUUUGAGAAAAUUAGAGUGUUUCAAGCAGGCUUUUAGGCUAUGAAUACAUUAGCAUGGAAUAAUAAUUUAGGACUUCGGUUCUAUUUUGUUGGUUCUUAGGACUGAAGUAAUGAUUGAUAGGGAUAGUUGGGGGUGCUAGUAUUCCGUGGCCAGAGGUGAAAUUCUCGGAUUCACGGAAGACUAACUUAUGCGAAAGCAUU